UCUGGUUCAGGACGAACGCUGGCGGCGUGCUUAACACGUGCAAGUCGAGCGGAAAGGCCCUUCGGGGUACUCGAGCGGCGAACGGGUGAGUAACACGUGAGCAACCUGCCCCAGGCUUUGGGAUAACCCCGGGAAACCGGGGCUAAUACCGGAUAUGACCUUGCACCGCAUGGUGUUUGGUGGAAAGUUUUUUCGGCUUGGGAUGGGCUCGCGGCCUAUCAGCUUGUUGGUGGGGUGAUGGCCUACCAAGGCGACGACGGGUAGCCGGCCUGAGAGGGCGACCGGCCACACUGGGACUGAGACACGGCCCAGACUCCUACGGGAGGCAGCAGUGGGGAAUAUUGCACAAUGGGCGGAAGCCUGAUGCCAGCGACGCCGCGUGAGGGAUGACGGCCUUCGGGUUGUAAACCUCUUUCAGCAGGGACGAAGCGUAAGUGACGGUACCUGCAGAAGAAGCGCCGGCCAACUACGUGCCAGCAGCCGC
RNAcentral lists this ribosomal RNA (484 nucleotides) under uncultured bacterium. RNAcentral describes it as "bacterial SSU rRNA". It matches the Rfam family "Bacterial small subunit ribosomal RNA", at positions 18 to 518 of the family's 1533-position model. The record is from RNAcentral.